Molecule: long non-coding RNA, 3108 nt
Organism: Sapajus apella (tufted capuchin)
Lineage: Eukaryota; Metazoa; Chordata; Mammalia; Primates; Cebidae
Exons: 2
Source: RefSeq, a predicted model, not a curated record
GCCAGCAGGUCCUUGGCACUCCUGCAUGCCAGAGGCCCUCUGCCCGGACCCGGUCUGGCCUCCAAGUCCUAGACUGCCCACACUUUCUUAGAGAAGAAACUGCAUUUAAAUGAGGCCUGUCUCAUGGCCUGAUGGACUGCCAGUGGCUGAGUCCAGCAGUCUCUAGAUUGGAAGAUGUUUGAGUCUCAGGCCCCAAGGACUCUCUGGCUGGGCAUCCAGGGCUCUUCCUGUCUCCCUGCCCCCGAUCCACCCAUAAGUCCUGUCAGUUCUCCUCCAAGGUACAUCCCAGGCCCUUCCACUUCUCGCCACCCCAUAGCCAUAGCUGGUUCUGGCCACUCACAGCUCUCACCUGGCCAACUAUGUGGCCUCCCCGCUGGCCUGCCUGCACCCAUUUCUGCCCUUCCUGUUUAGCUCAAUGCAGCAGCUGGCAGCCCUCGUUUAAACCAUUCUGUCCAUUGUGCUUCUGCCAAAAAAUUCCCCAGUGUGUCACUGACUGAAGCUAAGCUUGUCACAGUGCCCUGGGGCAGUGCUGCUGUAGGCCGGGCCCUGCCCAAGUCUCACCUGAUGCCACUCCUCUCCCUGCCACCCUCCAGCUACAUCCACCUUUGGUCUGUUUCUCAGUCAAGCCUCUCCAGGGGCUAGAUCACCCUUUCCCAAUCACAUGACCCUCACCUCUCUGACAAGGUCUCAUGUGGCUAAAUGUGAGUGCCAGGAGGGCAGAGGCCUUGUGUUCUGUUUGGCGCACAGCAGGUGCUUGGUUACCACAGACUGAAUGACAAAAGGAAACAGCAUCCACGCACCCAAGUACUGACUGGGACACCCCCGCCCUCCCUCCACUACCCAGAGAACCCCUUGGCACAAGUCCACGGUCAGCCUCAGACUUUCCUUGGGAAGCUUCCCUGACCCCUGCACUAGCUGAGGCCUUUUCCUCUUGCUCCCGCAGCACUGCAGAGGCUGUGUGUCUCAUCACAGCACAGCUGUCAGGCUUCGUCUGUCCCACCCGGGCUGUCCUUGGAGGGUCACAGCCCUGCCUUUCCCUGGGGAGCCCUAGUCUUCUUGGGCCUCACUGGCCAGAAGUAAACUAAAAGUACAGAACAGAGAAGGCUUUGCAGGGGCAUGGACCAGCCCUCUCAUGUUGUAGAUGGACAAACUGAGGCCCAGAGAAGUUGGGGGGCUUGCUCAGGGCCACCAGGGAGUUAACAUAGAAUGAGAAUCUGGCCGCCUUGCAAGUCCCCAGCACCUGUUGACGGAACCCCAUCCCCCAAGCCUUCCCUGUUCCAUGGUCUAUUAGUCCUCCUCUGUCAGGUGGCCCAGGCAGAACCUCCACAGGGUUCUGCCCUGCUCACCUCUUCAGCCUCAACUCUCAUCCUCUCAGCUGCCGGAGUAAAGUACUUUGAUCGCUCAGAAGCCCCUGUGGGCCUUCACAUACUAACCCUCUGUUUGCUUCUCCUUCCCUCCCCUUGCCUGGCUGGCCUCUCUUCAUUCUUAGAGACCCAGGCAUCUGCUCAGCUGAGAUGCCUUCCCUGACCACAGUGCCCCUGCCAGACGCCUCCAUGAUCUGCCUCCAUGAGCCCUUUGAGCAUAGUGCCCUGCUCUAGACUGAACUUCUCCAGCACAGGCCCUGUGUCCUGUGCCCUCAGUGCCAAGUCAAUGGCUGUUCAUUGACCGACUGAAUGACCAGCAUAUCCAGCUGCCACACUGGGCACAUUGCCCUGGGCUAUCUCUCAACGCUUUUAUGUCCUCACCCUCAGCUCUGGUGAACUCAUUUCUGUCUCCUCCUACACCUCAGCAGUUGGAGCUGCUGGCCCAUGUGCCCAGGCCCUCCUAACACCUGUUUUCCCUGACUCAGAUUCCCUACAGUGGGGUUCCUCUGGGCACAUGACAUUUGCCUGCCAGGGUGACUGACAUUUAAAAAGGGGAGCCGAGGAAAGGAAACACUCAUGGUGGCGUCCAGGCAAGAGCAACUGGCCAAGGCGCCUUCCGGGAGGCCACAGUGAGCAGUUCUGUUUCCACGGGCAGGGCUGUGGGCCAGGCACAGUCCAGCAGACUCCCCAAGGCAGGGGGAGUACAGAAUUCCAGGCACCGCCCCACUGGGAAUAAGAGCAGGCUUCCCAGGAUAGGGUACUGAGCUACCACCCACUUCCUAGCUUGUUGCAGGGCACAGUGAGGCAGUGCUGAUGUAAACCUUCAGGGAUGCUGCUUAUUGGAAGAGGUUACAUUUGGUAGAAGAGGUACUGGCCUUGGUGGCAAGCAGGGCUCUCUACACUUGAUCCAGGCAAAUCAGCUCACCUCACUGAGCCUCGCUUUUCUUGUGCAUAUCAUGACCCUUAUUACACCUCCAUUUUACUGUGUGCAUUGCAUGAAAAAGUGCCCAUCUGUCUGCAGACCCUGGAGCUAGGCAUAGGGUGGUGGUUCUCCUGGUUCUGUAAAGGGCUUAGCCUGAAGGAUGCAAAGGUGUGGUCUGUUUGGGCUGGAUUUGAACUCAGUCUGUCGGUGAGCUUGCACAGUGUCCCUGGGGUUUAAGAACGCACCACUGAUUGAACUCUGCUCACAUGCCAGGCCCCACGUGGGGGCACCUUGUGAAAAGAUAUGUUUAUUGUGCAGCCUGAGGAGGAGGGCAUGGAGACUAGGGGCCUGGGUGUGAGUUUGGUACUUCCCUUACCCUGCACUGCUGGUACAGUGGGUGGUGGGGGCUGCCUGUCCCACCUUGCACAGUGGGGCUCAAAGGAAGCUGAGAGUGGAGACCCAGCUUGUACCCUGCCUCCCCGGGGGAGGUGUUCCCCCUUUGUGAGCCUGCUGCUGUCCUUCAAGCUGCCAAGGUGUCUGUUUGGGGAGGUGGCCCAGCACACACCCCAUGCUGCAUGGUUGGCAGCCACAGGCCUAAUGCAGGCCACACCCCAGUACUCCCUGAGCUGGCCUGGUUCAGGGCUCUUUACUGUCUUAGAAGAACACCUGCCAUUUGCUGAGGACCUGUGACACUCUGGGGACUUAACAUUUGGCCUCCCCCUCUGGGAACUUGCACAAAUAAAACGACCUUCAAGAUGCUUUAAGCACCCAUCCAAAAUGGCCCUUAAUUGACUUUUAAUUAUACUAACAGCAUGUGCAUUU